GACGAACGCUGGCGGCGUGCUUAACACAUGCAAGUCGAGCGGUAAGGCCCUUUCGGGGGUACACGAGCGGCGAACGGGUGAGUAACACGUGGGUGACCUGCCUUUAGCUCUGGGAUAAGCCUGGGAAACUGGGUCUAAUACCGGAUAUGACUCCAUGAUGCAUGUUGUGGGGUGGAAAGCCUUGUGCGGCUGGAGAUGGGCCCGCGGCCUAUCAGCUUGUUGGUGGGGUGAUGGCCUACCAAGGCGACGACGGGUAGCCGGCCUGAGAGGGCGACCGGCCACACUGGGACUGAGACACGGCCCAGACUCCUACGGGAGGCAGCAGUGGGGAAUCUUGCGCAAUGGGCGAAAGCCUGACGCAGCGACGCCGCGUGAGGGAUGACGGCCUCGGU
RNAcentral lists this ribosomal RNA (392 nucleotides) under uncultured bacterium. RNAcentral's name for it is "bacterial SSU rRNA". It matches the Rfam family "Bacterial small subunit ribosomal RNA", at positions 28 to 423 of the family's 1533-position model. The record is from RNAcentral.